RNAcentral lists this ribosomal RNA (776 nucleotides) under uncultured Propionibacterium sp. RNAcentral's name for it is "SSU rRNA". It matches the Rfam family "Bacterial small subunit ribosomal RNA", at positions 554 to 1327 of the family's 1533-position model. Lineage: Bacteria; Bacillati; Actinomycetota; Actinomycetes; Propionibacteriales; Propionibacteriaceae. The record is from RNAcentral.
UUGGGCGUAAGGGCUCGUAGGUGGUUGAUCGCGUCGGAAGUGUAAUCUUGGGGCUUAACCCUGAGCGUGCUUUCGAUACGGGUUGACUUGAGGAAGGUAGGGGAGAAUGGAAUUCCUGGUGGAGCGGUGGAAUGCGCAGAUAUCAGGAGGAACACCAGUGGCGAAGGCGGUUCUCUGGGCCUUUCCUGACGCUGAGGAGCGAAAGCGUGGGGAGCGAACAGGCUUAGAUACCCUGGUAGUCCACGCUGUAAACGGUGGGUACUAGGUGUGGGGUCCAUUCCACGGGUUCCGUGCCGUAGCUAACGCUUUAAGUACCCCGCCUGGGGAGUACGGCCGCAAGGCUUAAACUCAAAGGAAUUGACGGGGCCCCGCACAAGCGGCGGAGCAUGCGGAUUAAUUCGAUGCAACGCGUAGAACCUUACCUGGGUUUGACAUGGAUCGGGAGUGCUCAGAGAUGGGUGUGCCUCUUUUGGGGUCGGUUCACAGGUGGUGCAUGGCUGUCGUCAGCUCGUGUCGUGAGAUGUUGGGUUAAGUCCCGCAACGAGCGCAACCCUUGUUCACUGUUGCCAGCACGUUAUGGUGGGGACUCAGUGGAGACCGCCGGGGUCAACUCGGAGGAAGGUGGGGAUGACGUCAAGUCAUCAUGCCCCUUAUGUCCAGGGCUUCACGCAUGCUACAAUGGCUGGUACAGAGAGUGGCGAGCCUGUGAGGGUGAGCGAAUCUCGGAAAGCCGGUCUCAGUUCGGAUUGGGGUCUGCAACUCGACCUCAUGAAGUC